GGGUGGACAGAUGCAAGGUAACAUGUUGACAAUCAUACAAAGAAAUUAAUUUACUCGCCAAUACCUCAUCAAAUACUUGAAACAAAAAUGGACAUGUUUUAAAGCAUUCGAACAUCUCAAAUUGCUUCCACAAGUCAUUGUUCAAAUAAAUGGAAUGCAAGCAAUGAGUCAAGAAAUGUAAGUCUUCAUCACAAACAGGAAAAUGAAAAGUUUCACAUGAUUCAUGAUUUCGCAUACUUGAAACUUACAAUUGUCGUUUGGCUAUAUUCUCGC
This 273-nucleotide long non-coding RNA is filed under the name Gossypium barbadense (sea-island cotton). Its description in RNAcentral is "long non-coding RNA (GBAR_LNC015472)". The record is from RNAcentral. Lineage: Eukaryota; Viridiplantae; Streptophyta; Magnoliopsida; Malvales; Malvaceae.